GCUUCCUCCCUCAACUCCGGUUGCUGCAGAGGGGGACUGAGGUGCUGCAUUUGCAGCACUCCUGCGCAACUAGAGCAUUAAAAAAAAAAAAAGCUUGCAGCAGUGUGGGUAGUGUGGAAACUGCCUUUGGGACCCUGUGCAGUUGGUGGACCACUAGCAUAACAUGUAAUUUGGCCCUGAGGACGAUUGAUACCAACAGCGACCUCAAGGCUGUUUAUAAACUUAAAAACUGUCAGGAGAUAUUUUCUGUGAGACAGUGCAAAAUGCAAGUCACUGCAGCAAUCAGUGAGACUGACAACAGGUGGACCUGAUCAGCAAACCAUAACAGGGUCAAGUGAGCUGGCUAGACGCGAUUGGUCAGGGCCAGUAUAUUACAGAAGCCCAAGCAAGAGGCAUUUGUCCACAGUGGUCCACCCGGCUGCUGUGAUCUAUGUGCCUAUUUGACUGUAUCCAUGUGUUUCUGGACUGACUAAGGACUGUAUGUCAUGUGAGUGUUUUCUUAA
Long non-coding RNA from Hemicordylus capensis (graceful crag lizard), 503 nucleotides. RefSeq lists it as uncharacterized. NCBI's taxonomy places the organism in Eukaryota, Metazoa, Chordata, Lepidosauria, Squamata, Cordylidae. The record is from RefSeq and is a predicted model, not a curated record. The transcript is spliced from 3 exons.